Rattus norvegicus (Norway rat) is the source of this 11630-nucleotide non-coding RNA. NCBI's taxonomy places the organism in Eukaryota, Metazoa, Chordata, Mammalia, Rodentia, Muridae. The record is from RefSeq and is a predicted model, not a curated record.
GGGCCCUCCCCCACGGGAGCCCAGAGGCCUUAUACAGUUUCCUCUUGGGCCAGGGAUGUGGGCAGGGGUGAUCAGUGUUGGUGGUCUCUUCCGCUCUGCAGCCUCAGGAGUGCCCACCUGACCAGGCGGUUGGGUCUCUCUCUCACCGGGUCUGGGAGCAGAGAGCUGCUGCGGGCCGGGAUCCGCGGGUGUGGGACUUCCGGUAAACACAGAACGUGCCCGGUUCUAGAGAAAUUCUGCUUCCGUGUGUCCCAAGCUCACCAGGCAGCUUUCUUGCAGCAGAAAAUUUGGUCUUACCUGUGAUCCCGAGGCUCAAGUUCGCUCGUGGGGUGCUGCCCAGGGGCUCUCUGCAGCGGCAGCAACCAGGAAGACCUGUGCCGCCCCUUCCGGGAGCUUCAGUGCACCAGGGUUCCAGAUGGUCUUUGGCUUUUUCCUCUGGCGUCCGAGAUGUGUGUGCAGGGAGCAGUCUCUUCUGGUUUCCGAGUAUUUCUUAUAUACAUUUCGAGCGUUAUUCCCUUUCCUGGUUUCCGGGCAAACAUCCCCCUAAUCCCUCCCCCUCCCCUUCUUUAUGGGUGUUCCCCUCCCCAUCCUCCCCCCAUUGCCACCCUCCCCCCAACAAUCUAGUUCAUUGGGGGUUCAGUCUUAGCAGGACCCAGGGCUUCCCCUUCCACUGGUGCUCUUACUAGGAUAUUCAUUGCUACCUAUGAGGUCAGAGUCCACGGUCAGUCCACCAUUUUCUUUGUAUGCAAAAAAGAGCUGCCAAAUUGUAACCAUGAUACAUUAAGUGUUCUGAUCUAGAGUGACAUGAGUCUCACAUGACUAGCUGCUCAGCUCUUAUACCCAUCUCAGCCCCCCACAAAACUGUCAGAAGGCCAAACUACAGUUAGAUUCAGUUGCCAAUUAAUAGUUUCCUCACACACCUCCCUCUGUGAUGAGUAUUAAGGAUGAACUCGAGCAUGUGACUUCAGUUCAUAAAAUGUUUACAAGGGCAGCUGGAGUGCGUAACAUUUGAUUGUUACAUAGAUAAACGUUGGAGAACACGUGUGAGCUGGGCAGCGUUAGUACCAGAUGCUCCGGUAACAUAUUUUCAAUGUUCAUCUCUCCCUCAGCGUUCUACUUUGGUGGUGGCUCUUAAUCUACUUUGAGAUAAGUUUGGUAUGAACUCUAUCUCUGAUGCCCAUAAUCUAUAAUAUCUCUGAUCUGUUAUUUAUAAUAGUUAUUUUGUUUAGUGUCCAAAUAGUCUAAAUAACAUAGGCCCUGUUACAUUUUCUCACACAUAUCUUGUUAAAACACAGAUAUUUCAAGUCCUUCAUGUUUAUAGAAGAAGAAGAAGAAGAAGAAGAAGAAGAAGAAGAAGAAGAAGAAGAAGAAGAAGAAGAAGAAGAAGAAGAAAGAAUUUUCUUUAGGCAUAAGAAAUACUCUGGUGUGGAAAGGCAUUGAUUUUCGAAAUUACAGUUCAUCUAAGACGUUUUAUGUCUCUUUAUCGGGGAGGCAAAUUUUUUCAUCUAGAACAGAAACUUCAUAGCUUUCUCAGAUCCAGCAUUUCCCAUGGCUAGUGAUAUUUGUUUUAUUGGUAAGAUUGUUUAUUUCAUUUCUGGGAUUUUCAAAUAACAUAUACUUAUAUAUGUUAAAUACCAUAAAUAUAAAACAAUUAAUCAUGCAUAAUAUAUGUGUAUAGUAAACAUAUAUACCCAUACAUAAACGUAAGCACAUGUAUAUUUAAACAUGCAUACAUGAUUAGAUACGUGUUAUUAAAAUUACAUGUAUAAUAUAAACAUAAGUAUAUAUUAAUGCUUUUAUACAUAUAUACAUUUACAUAUAUGCAUGUUUAAUUGCUUUGCAUUUGUAUUUGCUUUUGGAUAUGUGUUUGUUUAAGGAUUCAUACAGCAUGGCAUGUAUGUGGUUAGAGGACAGUUUGCAGGACCCAGGUCUCUCUUUCUACCAUGUGGGUUUUGAGGGGCAGUUAGGAUCAUCAGACUUGGCAACAAGCAUCUUUUACCGCUGAUCAUCUUGACCCUGAUUACAUAUUUGUAGAGAACAUAUUUAGAUUUUAGAAUAAGCAAGUCUAUUAGCUGACCAAUGUCACUUGUACUUUUAUUUUUCUGAAAAACGAUACAAGCAUUUAGUGUUCUAAAGUAGUUUUUCUUCAUAGUUUGACUUUACAAUUAUCUCAACAAAUUAUACAAAACAUAUGUACUGUGUACAUUUCUGCAUUCUACUCACAUUCAGUGUCUCACUUGCUUUAUCAUAUGGAUUUUGCCACUCACUACAUAUAGAUAUGGUCAGAGCACAUGAAAUUCAUAUAUAUGAACUCAUAUAUAUAUAUAUAUGUAUAUAUAUAUAUAUGCAAGCACAGCUUCCUGAAAUUUUUGAAAAUUAGCAAAUUACUCCUAUGCCCUUCAGAGUCUACUUCCUAAAAUAAGAAUAAUGUCUUAUGUAGAAGUAAACUUAUGCAUAACACUUUUACAUUUUUCCUCUGCAUUAUAAUUUAGUGUGUUGACCAAGUGGCAUGUUUUAUGCCAUUAUUUUUCUUCUAAUAUAGGACUCCUCUUUUUUUUCUUUUUUUCUUUAUUAACUUGAGUAUUUCUUAUUUACAUUUCGAUUGUUAUUCCCUUUCCCAGUUUCAGGGCCAACAUCCACCUAACCCCUCACCCUCCCCUUCUAUAUGGGUGUUCCCCUCCUCUUAAGAUCACAUUUUGCAUAAUCUCUUUGGUUCUGUGAAGCUUUUCUUUGUCUUUUAUAACACUGAUAUUUUUCAAAAUUGUGCUUCCAUUCUUAAUAAUUAAAAGCCUUUGUUCGUUCAUGUGAUGUUUCCUAAUGGGUAGGCAGUGGCUAUGUGUAUUGUUCUGAACCCUAAGUAAGUUCAAUCAUGUUGUCCUCAAUGUCACGUGUAAAGGCAUGCUACAUUCACCCCUCAUCAACACUAAAAGUAAUCCAAACACUUGGGUCACUACUGAGUCUCUCUACUGCAUGGUUAUAAAUAUUAAAAUAAUCUAUGGCGAAAACAAUAUGAUUAUAAUAUACUAAGGGAAUACUUUGCAACAUACCUGAUGCAGGCUUUCCAAUUCCUUUCGGUGUCAUGGCUCUCCAUCCUAGCCUUUUCUAUUCUAGCCUUGUGUGGCAUCUGCCCAUUUCUCACUCACUGACCUUUCCUGGUCUGCGUCUUGGGUUAGCAGCAAAGCAACAGACAGGUUGAGUAUGUUCUCUGCAGGAGAGACAGGUCUUCAGGAACCACAACAGCUCUGGAGUUUCCUGAGAUGAGAAACUUAUUUGGAAGGAAAGUUCAGAACUGCUAUAGGAUGAGAGCAGAAGGUAAUGGCCAAUAGUCCUAGAUUUUGGUGAUGCUCCACAGGAUUGUCAGCCCCUACAGCAAACUGGAAAACAUGGCACAAGUGUGUUAAAUCAAGGAGUUCAAAAAACCCUGAAGUGAAGAGGCCUGCCUUCAUGUGACAACACCACCAUAGUACAAACAACUCCAUGAACUCCAAGGAUUUUGAGUGAUAGGGGACAGAUUGGUUAAGCAACGUGACCUCAGGAGAGGUGCAGCAUGAUUCAGGUAGGGAAUGUUGCAUAGUAAUCUAAUGUCCUCAAAGACCCAGAUGUUGGAAAUUUGGUUGCAAGGAUGUGUUCUGGAGAGAUAGUCAAAUAUUUAAAAGUGGGGCCCAAUGGUAGGAUCAGUAGAUAAGAAUGCGGUUGCUUCUUUCUCUCUUUUUCUUCAUGACUAGGUACUGAGCAAUCUCACACAGCCAAGUGCUUGCCAAUAUCAUGACCCAGCACUCCUACCUACUGUGAGGCAAAGUAAACCUUUCUGUUGUGUAAGUUGAUUAUACCUGUUGGGGCUACAGGGGAUAUCACAAUUCAUGUUGGAAAGAGCAGUAGCUAAAAGAAAUGGUUGCAAGAAGGAAGUGAUUUCUGGUGUCUUGCUUUAGGCUCACAGCUAAGAUGCAUGGCAGAAUUCUGGAAGAAGAGAGCCAAUUAAAUUCACUGUUGAAUUGUUUUCCAUGAUAAGGAGUAUGUUUUAUUUAUAUGCAAUAUUAUGAAAAAUAUUUUAGCAAUGUACUGUAUAAUAGACUUCAAGCUCACCUUCAAGGUGCGGAGGAAAAAAUGUUCUGAAGUUAGCAAGAGUAGUCUAAUUAGCAUUCUUAUAGAAUGAGCUGUAGAUUUACUAGAGACUUACUGAAGAGAAAAACACCAGAGCCCCAGACUAGCACAUCAAUCUUUUGAGGCUCCCUGACACUCUUGAAGAGGAUAUCCUGGCACAGAAAGCAUAUUGCUGUCUUAAGGCCGUGGCCCUGGGUCAGAGCGUAGUAAGAACAAAAGAUGAGCAGGUUUGAGAGGAACCAGCUGGCUAAGGUGAUUCAAAGUGCACAGAUGUUAAAGGCUGACUGUUCCAACAGCAUCGUUACUGAGCAUGAGAAUAAAGAACAGAGAUUACAAUAUUUUUGAGACUUGAUUUACUGUGUUGAGCCUUCAAGUAUGGCUUUUGUGCAUUCCUUUUUCUUUCAUGCUAAUUUUUAACUUUCUACUUUUAUUUUAAUAUCAUUUUGUAUUUUUUAAUGGAAAAUAGCUGUUAAAAACCAACUGAAUAUCCUAUGAAAAUUGAAAAUUAAAUCACAGCUUAUCUGUGUAAGAAAUGUAUAUAGAAAUGUGUUAAUGCUAAGACCUGUAGAAGGGGUGUGUGUGUGUGUGUGUGUGUGUGUGUGUGUGUGUGUGUGUGUCUGUAUCUGUAUGAGUGUGUGUCUGUCUGUCUAUGUCUCUCUGUCUCUUCCUCUGUCUCUGUCUCUCUAUAAUGUGUGUGUGUGUGUGUGUCUGUAUCUGUAUGAGUGUGUGUCUGUCUGUCUAUGUCUCUCUGUCUCUUCCUCUGUCUCUGUCUCUCUAUAAUGUGUGUGUGUGUGUGUGUGUGUGUGUGUGUGUGUGUGUGUGUGUGAGUGUAUGUUGAGGCAAUGUUUUAUUUACCUAAGCUGGCAGAAAAUGAUCCACGUUUUGGUGACAGGUGUACACCACCACACUCAAAAUUUUCAUGGGCUUUUUAAAUGGUCUAUAGCACAGUGACCAAGACUUUGCACUUUUCUCUAUGUCUUCCUCAAAAAGAGCUUCUGACAUAGGAACUUUUGUGACAAGUAGAGGAAUGGUAGAUCUAAGGCAAUUAUAAACUCCUAACAUGUGAUUCACUCUGUGUGUGUGUGAGUGUGUGUGUGUGUGAGUGUGUGUGUGUGUGUGUGAGAGAGAGAGAGAGAGAGAGAGAGAGAGAGAGAGAGAGAGAGAGAGAGUGUAAGGGGAGAUCCAGAAGUAGAAGUGAGUGGUCUGAGUCAAGUCUUGGGAGUAAGCAGAAUCUAAACACAUAAUUGGUUUGGAAAAUAUUAGCUUUGUAGUUACAGGGCAUGGGUGUGUAUGUGGUUAAAGUCAUGGAAAAUAGUUCUACAUUCUUUAAGGUUAUAGCUUUUGAUUCCACUAAAACACUAAACUCUUAGUGAACAUCAGGAAUGGUACCAACAAUUACACAAAGACAUUACAAACUCUAGAAAAGAAUUAUUGUGCCCUUUAAAAAUAAUUAAAACAUCAUAUACCAUAGAGUCAAUAGCAUACUUCUUGACUCAAAAAUAUUCAAGUUUGAUUAUUCAGUAAGUAUUCUAGGGAUUGAAAACUCCUUUUGCAUAGCUCUGUAGCAUCCCUGAGCACGUGGUUUGGUCAUGUGAAAACUGCAUGAUGUGUCCACCAUACAGGGUCGGGGUGGCAUUUACUACUUCUCUUAUGAACCCAUGAAAACAGUAAUACUGGUACUAUCCCUCUGUGAAUAGCUUGUUUCUGUUUCCAAUUCUAGGAUAAUGCUGUGGAAUAAAAUAAUCAGAAUUACAAACUUGAUAAUGACACUCUGUAAGUCUGUCGCAUAUACUUGAGAUUUGCAUUCAUACGAUGUGAGUGAAAAUAAUGUAGCUGCAGCUUAUUUGUUUUCUCUCUUUCUUCUUUCUUCCUUCCUUUCUUUCUUUCUUUCUUUCCUUUUUCUUAUUUCUUUCUUUUUUACAAUCAAAAUAGCCUCAUGGAGAUGAGCUUUGAAGAAUGCCUUAAACAUACUCUUUUUUCUUUUCUCCUUGGGUUAGUAUCACUUGAAAAAUCAAGGUAGGCCUUCUUACUGGAACAUCAGAAGUAAUGCCUGGUAUGAAGAGGCUGACACUAUACUUAACCACAGUAAUCCUGCCCAACACACACAGAGACCGAUAGAUAACCAGAUUUGGCAUUUCAAAUAUUUUUUACCCAAGGCUAAAGCUUUAGGGUGUUUUCGUGGAAUUAGAGAGUUUAGAGAUGAAAAGCACGUCAUUUAUUAUUUUCUCUCUCUGUCAGCUUAGGAUGUCUUUUCAAAACCUUGUCUGUAACACUGAGCCUAUCCUUGAAUGUCUCACCUGUUGAAGGAUGCUCCAUCAUAAAGCGCUCUCAAAUCUUGGAAUACAUGCAUCCAGGGUCUUGUAGGCAAACAAAGCCAAAGAAGCAAAUUUGCUGGAAGAGGAAAUUGGACUUAGAAUCCUGAGUUUAGUCCAGCAUUUGAGUGAAGAUUAUGCAGCACAAUCCUGAAGGGCGCUCUCUCUCUCUCUCUCUCUCUCUCUCUCUCUCUCUCUCUCUCUCUCUCUCUCCCAUUCUGUUUUGCUUAGUGUUUCUUCGUGAGAUAUGUACAGAGGUUCCUAGAUGAUUUUGUCAGGUAGAUGAUCUGAUAAAUGUGUCAUUUCUCUGUCAGACAGAGAAAAUAUUUAAACAUUUUAUGUAAGACUGUAAUCAUCAGAAAGCUAUAUUUUUCAAAUAUUUUAUUGGUUGUUUUAGUUAUUUGCAUUUCAAAUGUUAUCCCCCUUCCCAGUUUCCCCUCUGAAAACCCCCUAUCCCAUCCCCCUACCCCCUGAUUUUAUGAGGGUGCUCCUCCACCCACCCUGCCACCUACUCCUACCUCACUGCCCUAGCAUUUCCCUAUGCUGGGCAUCAAGCUUUCACAGACCCCAGGGUCUUCCCUCUCAUUAAUACCAGAUAAGGCCAUCCUUUGCUAUAUAUGCAGCUGGUGCCAUGGAUCCCUCCAAGUGUACUCUUUGGUUGGUGGUUUAGUGCCUGGGAGCUCUGGGAGGCAGGGGAGUCUGACUGGUUGAUAUUGCUGUUCUUCCUAUGAGGUUGAAAACUCCUUCACCUUCAGUUCUUUGCCCAAAUCCUUCAUUGGGGUUCCUGAGCUCAAUCUGAUGAUUGGCUGCAUCUAUAUCAUCUAUAUUGGUAAGGCUCUGACAAAGCCUCUCAGGGACAUCCACAUCAGGCUCCUGUCAGCAAUCACUUACUGGUAUCAGCAAUAGUGACUGUGUUUGGUGGCUGCAUAUAGGAUGGAUCCCCAGGUGAGGCAGUCUCUGAAUGGCCUUCCCUUCAGUCUCUGCUCCACUAUUUGUCCCUAUAUUUCUUUUAGACAGGAACAAUUCUGAGUUAAAAUUUUGAGAAGGGUAGGUGGGCCCAUCCCUCAACCAGGAGGGGAUAGGGGUUCAUACCUAAUCUCUGGAUAUGGUCUCUACAAGUUCUAUCUCCCCUUUGUGGGGUAUUUCAGCUAAUGUCAUCCCUAUUGGGUCCUGGGACCUCUUGCUUUUCUGGCAUCUGGGACUUUCUGGUGGCUACUCUCAGUUCCCCAUCUCCAUUGCUAUAUACCUCUGUUCAGUUUCCUGACCCUCUGUAUAUCAUCUCUGUCUCCUCCCAUACCUGAUCCUGCCCCCACCUUUUUCCCUCUCCCCCUCCUUGCUUUCUCCCAAGUCCCUACUAUCCUCUACCUCCUGUGAUAAUUUUGUUCCCCCUUCUAAGUAGGUUUAAGGCAUCCAUACUUUGGUCUUCUUUCUCCUUGAGCUUCAUCUGGUCGGUAAAUUGUACCGUGGGUAUUCCAAAUUUUUUUCUAAAACCCACUUAUCAGUGAGUGUAUACCAUGUGCGCUCUUUUGUGACUGGGUUACCUCACUCAGGGUGGUAUUUUCUAGUUCCAUCCAUUUGCUUGCAAAUUUCAUGAAGUCAUUGUUUUUAAUGGCUGAGUAGUACUCCAUUGUAUAGAUGCACCACAUUUUCUGUAUCCAUUCCUCUGCUGAAGGACAUCUGGGUUCUUUCCAGCUUCUGACUAUUAUAAGUAAGGCUGCUGUGAACAUAGUGGAGCAUGUGUUCUUGUUAUACGUUGAAGCAGAAAACUAGAUUUUUAUUUCUAAAUAUUUACCUCUUUAUAUUUGUAUUAUGUUGGAGUAGUGACAAUUUAUAGAGCUCUUAAUCAUAGGAGCAGGAAAUAGUUUGCUACAUUUCAUCUCCAAUGGUGUUUACAUAUGACCUUGGAUAUAAAUUCUUAAAAUUAAAGAAUUAACAUCCAGUUUUUUCUCUAUUAUAACUUAAUGUGACAAUAUCUGACCUCUCAAGAAAAGAAAAACAAUAUUAAGUCAGGUAAGGUGUCUCCUGGCUUUAAUCCCAGCAGCUCAGGAGGCUGAGGUGGAGGUUUGUGAGUCUCUUCAGACUGUGAGACUUUGAAUGACUUGUGUUUUACUCAACAACUGUCCCUCCACCAAAGCAGCCACCUAAGUUCUCAGAUGGCUUAAGCAGCCUUUUGCUAUAAUGUGGAUGUUUCUCUACCAACGUUGGACAGUUCACCCUCAGUCUAGCAGCCUUGAAUUUUCAUCUCUAAAACCGUCCUUAUACAAACUUAGACACUUCAGUGUGGUAGAAAAACAAAGCAGAACCCACUGCUCUCUGUAAUUUAUGUCACCCAUACCGCUAGAAAAUUUUACUUUAUCAGUGAGUUAUUUCUGAUUUCAAAAACAUAACCUCUUAAUGACAAUGAAAAAAAUUGCACAAGAUUUUAAGUCUGGAAUCUGGCUCCCAGAAUUUUUUUUCUGUCACCAUGACACAUUCUCAGUGUUUAAAAUUGUUGUCGAUAACAUUUUGACUUUACAGUGGUACAGAGGCCCAUAACAUCCCAUGGAGACCCUGCUUCUGUUUUAAAUUUUGCUCUAGUGCAAACGUUGGGUGGAUAACGAACUGUAUUUGUGCGCUGCUGGAAGGAAGCUGUGCGCAUGCUUAGCUGGUAUUCUUAGGUGAUGCUGGACAGCAGCUUCAGAACUCAGCGCCCAGUUACUUGUGCGGUUGUGAGGGACACCGGCCCUCUUCAGUGCAUGGCGCUGCUCAGUGCUCACCAGAUAAGAGUACAAUAUUUCCAUCUGACUACAUGCUGAUAACACUGUGAUUUACAGAAAGAUUUACAAGAUCCAAGUUUGAGGAUGUGGCUCAGUGGAUAGAGUGCUUCUCUCCCAUGCCCGAUGCCCUCAGUCUGACCUCAUCACUCCAUCAGCCAGAGUGAUUCCUGCACACUGAUAUAUUGGGCAAAAGAAUUAAUAUUGACGAGUCAUAGCUUUGGGAAAUACUGAAGAAAUGAAAAUGAUUUUCCUAGGGUUGGGGAUUUAGCUCAGCGGUAGAGCGCUUGCCUAGCAAACGCAAGGCCCUGGGUUCGGUCCCCAGCUCCGAAAAAAAGAAAAAAAAAAAAAGAAAAGAAAAGAAAAUGAUUUUCCUGGCUUCCAGCUUCCUGCCUAAGUUAAAAGAUUCAAAGACCUUAUGGGAGAAUCUUCUAGAAUUAAUUAAUGCCUGUAUAUCUUCCUGUACCAGUCUCUCACUGAGAGUUUGUGACAAGUAAUGAGAAAUAUCCAUCAAAUGUCUGAGACCUCUAGAUGAACUGUGGCAUGUAAGCAUAUUACUAUUAGUGUUGAUUGUUAUGUUAUUUCAAUAAAUUAUAUUUGGUAUUAUCAAAGGAUCUGAACUUAUUACCUCACUUUCUUUUCUUCCUUAAGAUUAAAACACUAAAUUUCUAAUUAUUAGUAAGGUCAAUGUUUUGCAUAGUUCUCCGACUUCCUUUUUGUACCUAACAAUAAGUGAAGCAUGUAACAUUCUAGUGGCAGAUUUUAAGAUGUAUGUCAAAGCCCAUGUAUGUCAAGGCUUAACAAGUAAAGCACUUGCCUCUCAGACCUGAAAUCUGGGUUCUGCCCAGGGACCUAUGGGGGAAGGAGAGAACCGUUGAAAAGUCAUCCUCUAACUCCACACUCACGCCAUGGUACACACACACACACACACACACACACACACACACACACACACACACACACACCUUAAACACAUUCACACCCAUCAUAUACAAACAUCUUGUACACAUCAUACAUUCAUGCCAUAAGCACACAUCUUACACACAUAAACACACAUUAUGCACACAACACACAUACACAUACCACAUGCACACACAUCACGCAUACAUCACAGUACAUCCACAUCAUAUGCAUACAUAAACACACAACACAUGCACACAUGUCACACAUACAUACAAAUCACAUGAACUCACAUAUACAUACACAUCAUGCAUACAAACACAUCAUACAUAAGGAUCAAUAAUAGAGUUUUGGCAAACAAGUGCAAAAUCCCUCAUCGGCAUUUAAGAUCAUCAAAACCUAAAACAUUUAGAAUUAUUUAAACACAUGAAAAUCAGCAAAUACAGAUUAAGACUUUUCUGAAUCAGUAAAAUGAAAUGGAGAUUUUUAUGGGUCAUACUUAGUUUAGAAACAUUUAGGAAAUUAUGUAAAAAAUGUAAUCUUUCCUUUGGAAUAAGCAAUCUGGAGGCCAUCUUAUAUAAAUCCAUUUAUAAUCUUUAAUGAUAGAAAAGUAGCACACAUUCUUAUGAAUAUAAUAUCUGCUGUAUAAUCAAGAGUUCCAGGCAGUCUUCCUAAUAUUCCACCACCUUUUUAAAAAGCACAUCAGCUCCAAAAUAGUAAAUGUUGAAAAAAUACUAGGGCUGAGGACCAGGCUGUGGGAAAACUCAUCUCUAUAUGAUCUCCUUCACCAGGCAAAAUCAGGUAAAAAAAAUCUUAAUCCAUGAUUUGGACCACUUUUAAAUUAAAAUUACCAUUCUCAAGAAUGACUUCUAUUUUUAUGGGGGGGUUUCCCAUUCUAGAAUUAACAAUAAAUUUGGCUAAGAUAAUUGUAAAAUUUCCCAUUCUUUUUUUAAAAAUUGAAUUGGAUUUAUUUUCUUUUCUACUGAAUUUCUACAGUUUCAUCACUCCUCUAUUCUAAUACAUCACUCUAUUCUAGGCUGUUUUGCCACAUAUUCAAAUGUGUGCCUAAUGUUCUAGGAAAGCCAAAUUUAUUAAUUGUGAGUGAUAAAUAUGAAGGAAUUCUGUAAUGGUAUCUGCAAAAAAGCAAUCACUCUUGGGACACCAAUCAAGAAGUCUGAAUGACAAGACAAAGACAAAGCAAGGAAGAAAUUGGACAGACCUUAAAGACAACAAAGACUUUAGGGUAUGACUGGAUUUCAUGUCAGCUCCAUGGUUCAGGGGUGUGAGAGCAAGGGGAUAUGAGAUUAGGAGCACUGUUCUCUGGACAAACUAUAUGCAGUGUUGCAUCAGAAGAUAGACUCCUUCCAUGUAAGCUGGGUGACACUGACUAUGAAAUAGAUUUGAAGCAUCCCAUUACAGAAGGGAAAAAACCCUUAGUUAUCUGGGUAAGAGGUAGGAAAAGAAGGACUGAGGUCUGCAAAAAUGACUUCUAGGAGAGAAUGAUUUAGUAGGUAGUGGGCUCUGACUUCUGGGAAUUUCUUUUCAUAAAUCAAUAAGCAAGACA